Molecule: ribosomal RNA, 320 nt
Filed under: uncultured eukaryote
Lineage: Eukaryota
Description: partial 18S ribosomal RNA
Rfam family: Eukaryotic small subunit ribosomal RNA
Source: RNAcentral
CCCCUAGAUGUUCUGGGCCGCACGCGCGCUACACUGAACAGUUCAACAAGUCUUAACCUUGGCCGAUAGGUCUGGGUAAUCUUUGAACGCUGUUCGUGAUUGGGAUAGACCUUUGCAAUUAUGGGUCUUCAACGAGGAAUUCCUAGUAAACGCAAGUCAUCAGCUUGCAUUGAUUACGUCCCUGCCCUUUGUACACACCGCCCGUCGCACCUACCGAUUGAAUGGUCCGGUGAAAUCUCGGGACGGCGGCUUGGUCGCUUGCGUCCGACUGCUGAAACUUGAUUAAACCCUCUCAUUUAGAGGAAGGUGAAGUCGUAACA